GAGUUUGAUCAUGGCUCAGAUUGAACGCUGGCGGCAUGCCUUACACAUGCAAGUCGAACGGCAGCACGGGAGCUUGCUCCUGGUGGCGAGUGGCGAACGGGUGAGUAAUGCAUCGGAACGUAUCCUGGAGUGGGGGAUAACGUAGCGAAAGUUACGCUAAUACCGCAUAUUCUGUGAGCAGGAAAGCGGGGGACCUUCGGGCCUCGCGCUCUUGGAGCGGCCGAUGUCGGAUUAGCUAGUUGGUGAGGUAAAGGCUCACCAAGGCGACGAUCCGUAGCAGGUCUGAGAGGAUGAUCUGCCACACUGGAACUGAGACACGGUCCAGACUCCUACGGGAGGCAGCAGUGGGGAAUUUUGGACAAUGGGCGCAAGCCUGACCCAGCAACGCCGCGUGAAGGAAGAAGGCUUUCGGGUUGUAAACUUCUUUUAACUAGGACGGAUAAUGACGGUACCUGUUGAAUAAGCUCCGGCUAACUACGUGCCAGCAGCCGCGGUAAU
This 498-nucleotide ribosomal RNA is filed under the name bacterium enrichment culture clone ALO1_GLFRUDD03FXJHN. RNAcentral describes it as "bacterial SSU rRNA". It matches the Rfam family "Bacterial small subunit ribosomal RNA", at positions 9 to 524 of the family's 1533-position model. The record is from RNAcentral.